RNAcentral lists this ribosomal RNA (253 nucleotides) under uncultured bacterium. RNAcentral describes it as "partial 16S ribosomal RNA". It matches the Rfam family "Bacterial small subunit ribosomal RNA", at positions 524 to 776 of the family's 1533-position model. The record is from RNAcentral.
UACAGAGGUGGCAAGCGUUGUUCGGAAUUACUGGGCGUAAAGGGCGCGUAGGUGGCCUUCUUAGUCAGACGUGAAAUCCCCGGGCUUAACUCGGGAACUGCGUCUGAUACUGGAUGGCUCGAGUUCGGGAGAGGAAUGUGGAAUUCCAGGUGUAGCGGUGAAAUGCGUAGAUAUCGAGAGGAACACCUGCGGCGAAGGCGGGUUGCUGGGCCGACACUGACGCUGAGGCGCGAAAGCCAGGGGAGCGAACGGG